Non-coding RNA from Schistosoma mattheei, 45 nucleotides. The record is from Rfam. Lineage: Eukaryota; Metazoa; Platyhelminthes; Trematoda; Strigeidida; Schistosomatidae.
AUCCAGUUAACGAGUCCCAGAUAGAACGAAACGCACUUCCUGAAU